UGNAUAACCUUUCCAAUCCCUUCAAUAUUGGAUGUUGUAGAAUUUCCCAUGUAAAGACACUCAUUAUGAUUCAAGGUCUUAUAUUCAGCGAAUAGACCCUUAUCUGCACAGAUGUGACGAGUGGCUCCUGUGUCCAACCACCAAUCCUUGGCAUUAGAUACCAAAUUAACUUCAGAAACAACAGCAGAUAAGUUGAUGUCUUCAACAUCCGUAGAAAUUUUAUCCACUUCGGUUAUAUUGGCUUGGGGCGGUUUCUUUUUCUGCGUAUCCUUCUUUUUGCUUCGAUAGUCUUUAGCCCGAUGUCCCGGCUUCCCGUAAGUAUAACAGUUGCCUUUGAACCGUUUUGCAUUGUUGACUUUUUCUUUGUCCAUAGAUGAGCCAGAACGCUUCCUUUUCUUGUUCUUAGACCCCGAGUCUUCUACCAUGUUAGCCUUUGCUUCCAUGUUGCGGACAUUAUUCUUCUUUUCUGCAGCCCGGUUGUCUUCUUCAAUGCGAAGUCGAACAAUUAGAUCCUCC
This 516-nucleotide long non-coding RNA is filed under the name Olea europaea subsp. europaea. The record is from RNAcentral. Lineage: Eukaryota; Viridiplantae; Streptophyta; Magnoliopsida; Lamiales; Oleaceae.